UAUUAGGUUGGUGCAAAAGUAAUUGCUGUUUUUGCCAUCCAUUGAAAGUAAUGGCAAAACCACAAUUACUUUUGCCCCAGCCUAGUAU
RNAcentral lists this microRNA precursor (88 nucleotides) under Chlorocebus sabaeus (green monkey). RNAcentral describes it as "miRNA (ENSCSAG00000022031.1)". Lineage: Eukaryota; Metazoa; Chordata; Mammalia; Primates; Cercopithecidae. The record is from RNAcentral.